UCUCCAAAAGCCGUCCCAGUUCGGAUGCAGGCUGCAACCCGCCUGCAUGAAGUUGGAAUCGCUAGUAAUCGCGGAUCAGCAUGCCGCGGUGAAUACGUUCCCGGGCCUUGUACACACCGCCCGUCACACCAUGAGAGUCGGGAACACCCGAAGUCCGUAGCCUAACCGCAAGGGGGCGCGGCCGAAGGUGGGUUCGAUAAUUGGGGUGAAGUCGUAACAAGGUAAC
Molecule: ribosomal RNA, 226 nt
Filed under: uncultured bacterium
Lineage: Bacteria
Description: partial 16S ribosomal RNA
Rfam family: Bacterial small subunit ribosomal RNA
Source: RNAcentral